RNAcentral lists this ribosomal RNA (508 nucleotides) under uncultured bacterium. RNAcentral describes it as "partial 16S ribosomal RNA". It matches the Rfam family "Bacterial small subunit ribosomal RNA", at positions 29 to 523 of the family's 1533-position model. The record is from RNAcentral.
AUUGAACGCUGGCGGCAUGCCUUACACAUGCAAGUCGAACGGCAGCGGGGGAGAAGCUUGCUUUUCCUGCCGGCGAGUGGCGAACGGGUGAGUAAUACAUCGGAACGUGCCCUGUAGUGGGGGAUAACUAGUCGAAAGAUUAGCUAAUACCGCAUACGACCUGAGGGUGAAAGUGGGGGACCGCAAGGCCUCAUGCUAUAGGAGCGGCCGAGGUCUGAUUAGCUAGUUGGUGGGGUAAAGGCCUACCAAGGCGACGAUCAGUAGCUGGUCUGGGGGGACGAUAAGCCAAACUGGGACGGAGACACGGCCCAGACUCCUACGGGAGGCAGCAGUGGGGAAUUUUGGACAAGGGGCGAAAGCCUGAUCCAGCAAGGCCGCGUGUGGGAAGAAGGCCUUCGGGUUGUAAAGCACUUUUGUCCGGAAAGAAAUGGCUCUGGUUAAUACCUGGGGUCGAUGACGGUACCGGAAGAAUAAGGACCGGCUAACUACGUGCCAGCCGCCGCCGUAA